GCGCAAAUUGCUGUGGAAUGCUGAGAACAUUUCGUUCUCUUCAUGCACCAACCAGAAUUAUUACAUGCUGGUAAUUAUCUAUAAACGUUAACAUUUAGGAGACUACAGUCAGGGCUGGGGAUCUCUACCAGGGCUGUGUUCCUUCCUUGUUGACACGUCGCCGUGGGAUAACACAUGCCAGCGUAACAGUUAAAACCUUGACACCUGUCAUCACUCCGUCACUAUGGCUUCCCGCUUGCUUGAAAGGGGUCAGUAAAAAGACCCAGAGGUGUCAGCCUUUGAAAUGUAAUCGCUGCUACUUCAUGCAGGCUAAUACAGCCAUGCAGAAGGCGGUGAGGAAUGGGGCAAAGACUUUCGGAAAUCAGCGCUACUACAGUAUGUACUUGUGUCAGUCUGGAGAGCUGCCUAUGUUUCCAUCUGUCUCAGAGGAGCAUCUGAUCCGUCUCUCUAGGUUCUGGCUCUGUCACCGUCCGUCCAUCUGUCAGGAGCAGGCGAAGCUGCGGCACCGACAGAUCCAAGCUCCUAAUCACAGUCUGCCUGUACAGAUACUGUACAUGGGCUUCAGUUUUGGUGAAUUUGGUAUUUAUUAUUCCUUCGUUUUUUUUACAUGCAAAUGCUGUUUUGUGCAAUGCAAUGUUAACGGAUAAAUCUACAAUUAAAAAAAUGAAAAGAAAA
Pseudophryne corroboree (corroboree frog) is the source of this 675-nucleotide long non-coding RNA. RefSeq lists it as uncharacterized. The transcript has 2 exons. The record is from RefSeq and is a predicted model, not a curated record. NCBI's taxonomy places the organism in Eukaryota, Metazoa, Chordata, Amphibia, Anura, Myobatrachidae.